Rosa rugosa (rugosa rose) is the source of this 536-nucleotide long non-coding RNA. RefSeq lists it as uncharacterized. The transcript has 3 exons. Lineage: Eukaryota; Viridiplantae; Streptophyta; Magnoliopsida; Rosales; Rosaceae. The record is from RefSeq and is a predicted model, not a curated record.
CCAAUUCACUUCUCAAACCUCUAUCACCUACAAGACCGUGACCACCAUCCUUCCAUCAAUCUACGAAGUUCUUAGGCGCUGAGUCAAGGACGCUUCACCACCAUAGCAGAGGCGAGUUCAUCACCUUGUUGCCAAGCCGCUGAGGAAAGCUUCAAAGUGACGCAAGAAGGUGGACUUAUUUGUCGAAGUUCAAAAGCAAUAUAGGAUACCACUUGAAGAAUAUAAAGCAAAGGUUCAGAGGCUCGUGAAAGGACGUGAAGAGAUCAUAGCUGGAGCAAUUGAACACGCAAUGCUUUCGAAAAUUUCUCAAGAAAGGAGCUAGGAUGACCAAUAGUGCAAUAUUGUUGUUGGAAUUGCAGGCUAUUGGGGAGUCAUUUGACCAAAAAGUGAUGAGGCCAAGUCCUGCAAUCCGGGCCUCGGUGGAGGCACUGGAGAAGCUUGUGUUAGAUGAUGCACAUCGUGGUUCACCCUUUUUUUUCUUUUUUGCUUCGAGGCAUACAUUCUUUGAUUAAUCUAGCUUGAUUGGAAUGCGUUUU